GAUGAAGAACGCAGCGAAAUGCGAUACGUAAUGUGAAUUGCAGAAUUCAGUGAAUCACCGAGUCUUUGAACGCACAUUGCGCCCCCUGGUAUUCCGGGGGGCAUGCCUGUCCGAGCGUCAUUGCUGCCCUCAAGCACGGCUUGUGUGUUGGGCCUCCGUCCUCCUCCCGGGGGACGGGCCCGAAAGGCAGCGGCGGCACCGCGUCCGGUCCUCGAGCGUAUGGGGCUUCGUCACCCGCUCUUGUAGGCCCGGCCGGCGCUUGCCGACACAUCAAUCUUUUUUCCAGGUUGACCUCGGAUCAGGUAGGGAUACCCGCUGAACUUAAGCAUAUCAAUAAGCGGAGGA
RNAcentral lists this unclassified non-coding RNA (345 nucleotides) under soil metagenome. RNAcentral describes it as "partial contains 5.8S ribosomal RNA, internal transcribed spacer 2, and large subunit ribosomal RNA". The stretch from base 1 to 120 matches the Rfam family "5.8S ribosomal RNA", at positions 35 to 154 of the family's 154-position model. The record is from RNAcentral.